UAGGGAAUCUUCGGCAAUGGACGAAAGUCUGACCGAGCAACGCCGCGUGAGUGAAGAAGGUUUUCGGAUCGUAAAACUCUGUUGUUAGAGAAGAACAAGGACGUUAGUAACUGAACGUCCCCUGACGGUAUCUAUCCAGAAAGCCACGGCUAACUACGUGCCAGCAGCCGCGGUAAUACGUAGGUGGCAAGCGUUGUCCGGAUUUAUUGGGCGUAAAGCGAGCGCAGGCGGUUUCUUAAGUCUGAUGUGAAAGCCCCCGGCUCAACCGGGGAGGGUCAUUGGAAACUGGGAGACUUGAGUGCAGAAGAGGAGAGUGGAAUUCCAUGUGUAGCGGUGAAAUGCGUAGAUAUAUGGAGGAACACCAGUGGCGAAGGCGGCUCUCUGGUCUGUAACUGACGCUGAGGCUCGAAAGCGUGGGGAGCAAACAGG
This 429-nucleotide ribosomal RNA is filed under the name Gemmatimonadota bacterium. Its description in RNAcentral is "Gemmatimonadetes bacterium partial 16S ribosomal RNA". It matches the Rfam family "Bacterial small subunit ribosomal RNA", at positions 355 to 776 of the family's 1533-position model. Lineage: Bacteria; Pseudomonadati; Gemmatimonadota. The record is from RNAcentral.